ACUAUACCAUGCUGAAUAUACCGGUUCUCGUUAGAUCACCGAAGUCAAGCAUCAUUGGGCGCGGUCAGUACUUGGGUGGGUGACCACCUGGGAACACCGCGUGCCGUU
Molecule: ribosomal RNA, 108 nt
Filed under: Caerostris darwini
Lineage: Eukaryota; Metazoa; Arthropoda; Arachnida; Araneae; Araneidae
Source: RNAcentral